This 250-nucleotide ribosomal RNA is filed under the name uncultured bacterium. RNAcentral describes it as "partial 16S ribosomal RNA". It matches the Rfam family "Bacterial small subunit ribosomal RNA", at positions 524 to 776 of the family's 1533-position model. The record is from RNAcentral.
UACGAAGGGGCUAGCGUUGUUCGGAAUUACUGGGCGUAAAGCGCGCGCAGGCGGUUUCUCAAGUCAGUGGUGAAGACCGCGAGCUCAACUCCGGAACUGCCAUUGAAACUGUGAGACUUGAGGACGAGAGAGGUGAGUGGAAUUCCCAGUGUAGAGGUGAAAUUCGUAGAUAUUAGGAAGAACACCAGUGGCGAAGGCGGCUCACUGGCCCGGUACUGACGCUGAGGCGCGAAAGCGUGGGAGCAACAGG